UACGCUAUAGAGAGUGUCCAUUAAGAGAGACUGAAUAUUAUUAUACCUUUGGGCCUAAAGUACUACAAUGGUUUUGUUAAUCCUCUUUAUUCAGUAGCUUCUGGUGCUUUUAAGUAUUAUUAUUUGAUAAUAAAUGAAUGACAAACAAUUAUUAAUAACUAAUAAUCAUAUUGACAAUAUGAUGCACCAAAUUGAAAUUAAUUGACCAUAACAUACAGUCCUAAUAGGAAUGAGUGUUUAUAAAUAUACUACAGGUUAUAAAUUAAUUUAACGUGGCAAUGUUGAUAGCUACCAUAUUAAUAUAAUGUUAAUGUGUAUUGUAAUAAUCAACUUAAUGUCAAGUUUUACUUGCAUUUUCAAAAGCAGUCAGAAUGUACAUUAAUCGUAUAGUUCAUAUACUUAUGGCUGCCUUGUUGACAGUUAAUUUUAAAAAGCUUAAUCAAAAUGCGUGGGCUGUCUUGCUAUUUUUAGAUGUGGGCAGAUUUUCAUAUUAUAAUAACUUUUAUUAGUGAUGUAAUCUGUAUGAUGUAAAGCUGAUACUGUUGUGAUAAUAAUAAUAAUAUUAAUGUGGGCUGGCCUGGCAGUAGAUUUUACCAUGUAUGUACAAUGUACAUGUGUAUGUACAUUAAGAUUGUAUUAAUGUGAUAUUUGUGUGUGUUUAAUUGGGUUUCCAAGUUCAGUUAGUUCACUGAUAAUUAAAGCUUUGUUAUGGCUUUCACUCUCUUGUCUUCUUUAAUGUACUCUCUAUACUAUAUAUGGACUUACACCUCCUAACUUCCUCUCUCUGUCUCUCUCUGUCUCUGUCUCUCUGUCUCUGUCUCUCUCCCUCUCUGUCUCUCUCUGUGUCUCUCUCUCCCUCCCUCUCUCUCUCCCUCUCUCUCCCCUAGUUGGCAAUAAGAAUGAUAGCCCAGAUAAGAAGGUUGUGUCCACAGAAGACGCUCAGAAAUUUUCAGAACAGAUUGGUAUAGAUUUGUACGAAACGAGUGCCAAAGAGAACAUCAAUGUAGAAGAGGUAUUUUAUGCUAUAACUCGACUGGUUUUAAAAACAAAAAAGGAAACAGCCAAAGAUGGAGGAGGCACCAAGGACACCAUAAAGGUGAACAAAUCGAGUGGUGCCAAAGGAGGGAAGAAGAAGUGUUGCUAAAGUUGUAUCUUUCUUGUCCUUUUUUUCCUGUCUUCAUCUCUGUCUUACUCUCAUUGACUAUACUUUAUGUGUUGCAUUUUUUAUGAUAUAAUUACCGAUUGAGCCACUUUUCUAGCUGCUAUUUGGAUACUAUACUAAUUUACUAUUAUCAUUAUUAUUAUUAUUAUCAUUAUUAUUAUUAUCAUUAUUUAAUGUUAUAGUUGUAUUAAUUUUUUUAUGUAUAAUUGUUUACAUGUACAUAAUAAAAUAAAUAUUAAUUUUUGUUGUUAUUAUUAUUAUUAUGUUUCAUGUCUGUGUAUAGGCACCUAGUUUGGUAGGGGAUAUUGAACAGCAUAUUGUGGACAUCUUUUUUUAUUUAUUCUAUUAUUCUAUUCUUUUUUAUAAUACCUCUCCAGCUGUCUUCCUA
Molecule: long non-coding RNA, 1550 nt
Organism: Amphimedon queenslandica
Lineage: Eukaryota; Metazoa; Porifera; Demospongiae; Haplosclerida; Niphatidae
Exons: 2
Source: RefSeq, a predicted model, not a curated record